UGCAAGUCGAACGAACUCUUCGGAGUUAGUGGCGGACGGGUGAGUAACACGUGGGAACGUGCCUUUAGGUUCGGAAUAACUCAGGGAAACUUGUGCUAAUACCGAAUGUGCCCUUCGGGGGAAAGAUUUAUCGCCUUUAGAGCGGCCCGCGUCUGAUUAGCUAGUUGGUGAGGUAAAGGCUCACCAAGGCGACGAUCAGUAGCUGGUCUGAGAGGAUGAUCAGCCACAUUGGGACUGAGACACGGCCCAAACUCCUACGGGAGGCAGCAGUGGGGAAUCUUGCGCAAUGGGCGAAAGCCUGACGCAGCCAUGCCGCGUGAAUGAUGAAGGUCUUAGGAUUGUAAAAUUCUUUCACCGGGGACGAUAAUGACGGUACCCGGAGAAGAAGCCCCGGCUAACUUCGUGCCAGCAGCCGCGGUAAUACGAAGGGGGCUAGCGUUGCUCGGAAUUACUGGGCGUAAAGGGAGCGUAGGCGGACAUUUAAGUCAGGGGUGAAAUCCCGGGGCUCAACCUCGGAAUUGCCUUUGAUACUGGGUGUCUUGAGUAUGAGAGAGGUGUGUGGAACUCCGAGUGUAGAGGUGAAAUUCGUAGAUAUUCGGAAGAACACCAGUGGCGAAGGCGACACACUGGCUCAUUACUGACGCUGAGGCUCGAAAGCGUGGGGAGCAAACAGGAUUAGAUACCCUGGUAGUCCACGCCGUAAACGAUGAUUGCUAGUUGUCGGGAUGCAUGCAUUUCGGUGACGCAGCUAACGCAUUAAGCAAUCCGCCUGGGGAGUACGGUCGCAAGAUUAAAACUCAAAGGAAUUGACGGG
This 814-nucleotide ribosomal RNA is filed under the name Brevundimonas nasdae. RNAcentral describes it as "bacterial SSU rRNA". It matches the Rfam family "Bacterial small subunit ribosomal RNA", at positions 56 to 917 of the family's 1533-position model. The record is from RNAcentral. Lineage: Bacteria; Pseudomonadati; Pseudomonadota; Alphaproteobacteria; Caulobacterales; Caulobacteraceae.